UGAUUUAGGUUGUUUAUUUCUUGAUUUUAUCUUAAUUUAUCUUAUUAUUUAUUUAAGUCUGAAUCAACUCUCUCAUUCUUCUCACCCAUCCUCAACCGCCCCUUUUCUCCUUCACCCUAAACCCUUGAUUCCUCCAACCUCCUCCUCCGCUCCUAGCUUUUAGGGUUUUUGUUCUUCCAGAAUUGAUUUUGUUGUUCAACUAAUUAAAAGAUAUCAUUUAUGAUUUUGGGAUUCCGGUUCGUGGGAUGAAAUUGAAGGUGCCCGUUAUCGAUUUGAGUGACCGUGAUGAAGGGAAGGUUCCGCAUGAGAUAAUGGAUGCAAGUAGGGGAAGACAAAGGUCGGAGAGAUUACGACGGCUCAGUGGAUUCCAGCUGGCUUCCGCUGGCUUCUAUUUGUUUCUUUGUUACAAAUAUUUGUUUCUUGAAUGAUUGUAGGUUCAGCAAAUUUUGUCAGAUGAUUACAGGAAGCCCUCUUAAGGAAUAUCCAUAUGAAAGAAAAGCAUGAGAUGCAAUUACAACAAUGGUCAAUCAAAGAAGAAUUUUAUUUCGUUGCAGUAUAUUACACUUAUUGGUCUUUUGAUUCUGCUCUAUGAAUAUCAACAUACAUUGCAGUUUGCUUCUUUCUCUUUGGGAACAUUACUUAGGUUCUUGGAAACAAGUACCAAAGAAAACGACUUGAAAUAAUUGAAGCCAGUUUUACUGAUGUUGGAGAUUGUCUACCACUCAAGCACAUAUAUCAAAUCGCUUUUUUUUUUUGUUUGGUGGUCUCCCUUCACGAGUUCUUGAAGAAAUUGGCAGAUAGUAGCAAAUGGGAACUGAGGAUUGAGAAGUAUGUUAGAGAGCAUGUUAGUAGCACAAGCAAGGGUUCUAUAAGAGAAGCGGAAAUUAAUCAGGGACUGUUAGGUUAGUUAGAUGUUAUUAUAGUAGUUACUUAGUACUAGGAUGAGAUGAACUAUAAAUAAAGGGAAAUCAAAUUAGAGGGACGCAUUAUGUUGCAUUAUAUAUCUCUCAUUAAGUAUUUCCUUUAGUAUUUGAAAUUAUUGCUAAAGUUUGGUAUUGAACAUGUCUUAAGCACAAGAGAAAGUUAUU
Lotus japonicus is the source of this 1088-nucleotide long non-coding RNA. RefSeq lists it as uncharacterized. NCBI's taxonomy places the organism in Eukaryota, Viridiplantae, Streptophyta, Magnoliopsida, Fabales, Fabaceae. The transcript is spliced from 5 exons. The record is from RefSeq and is a predicted model, not a curated record.